GUCUACAGCCAUGCCACCCUGAACGUGUCUGAUUUCGUCUGAUCUUGGAAGCUAAGCAGGGUUGGGCCUGGUUAGUACUUGGAUGGGAGACCACCUAGGAAGACCAGGUGCUGUAGGUG
This is a non-coding RNA of Pteropus alecto (black flying fox), 119 nucleotides long. The record is from Rfam. NCBI's taxonomy places the organism in Eukaryota, Metazoa, Chordata, Mammalia, Chiroptera, Pteropodidae.